Molecule: ribosomal RNA, 264 nt
Filed under: uncultured archaeon
Lineage: Archaea
Description: partial 16S ribosomal RNA
Rfam family: Archaeal small subunit ribosomal RNA
Source: RNAcentral
ACACGUCUACAUUAGAUACCCCUGUAGUCCCAGCCGUAAACUAUGCGCGUUAGGUGUAUCGGUGACCACGAGUCACCGAGGUGCCGAAGGGAAACCGUGAAACGUGCCGCCUGGGAAGUACGGUCGCAAGGCUGAAACUUAAAGGAAUUGGCGGGGAGCACCACAACGGGUGGAGCCUGCGGUUUAAUUGGACUCAACGCCGGGAAGCUCACCGGAUAGGACAGCAGAAUGAUUGCCGGGCUGAAGACCCUGCAUGACUAGCUG